RNAcentral lists this long non-coding RNA (1059 nucleotides) under Anser brachyrhynchus (Pink-footed goose). Its description in RNAcentral is "lncRNA (ENSABRG00000016677.1)". Lineage: Eukaryota; Metazoa; Chordata; Aves; Anseriformes; Anatidae. The record is from RNAcentral.
AUGACUAAAUGGAAGCCAGUGUCAACGGAUCAAACCUGGAACAUGAGAGAUCCGGUUUCAAGUCCUGUCUCUGCUGCAGACCUGCUACAUAUAGAGAUAAAAUACUUCGAGAAUGCAACUGCUAGUGUGUACUGCAAAGGAGUAAAAAGGAAGAAAAGAAGAAGAAAAGAAGAAGAAGAAGAAGAAGAAGAAGAAGAAGAAGAAGAAGAAGAAGAAAAGGUAGCCUAAACCAGGAACUACCUUACAGAGCAGAAAUCUUGUCCUGUUUCAGUGGAAGUUUUUUGCUUCACAAACUUUAAUGAGUUAUCCUCACUGCUCUUGUGAGGAAGGAAGGAUUAUCCUUUGUCUUACACUGGAAAAUUAUAGACUGUAAAGCACAAGCAUUGCAGUAAAUUUAGUGAUUUUUAAGUGUUCAAGUUUCUGACUGCUCAAUUCCAUGCUUAGUUUCCAGGAAUGUUGUAUUUUUUGCAGCUCAUCUUCAUUAGGCAUUAUCUUCCUAAAUAUACCAAAUAACUCAUUCUUUUUCACUGAACUAGGAAUCUUGAUUUAAAAAGCCUUACAAAGUAUAAUUUCAACAAUAUAUAACUAACAUAUCGAUAAGUAACUCACAUAGUCCCUUCUACAUCUGUUUGACCACAGACCAAGAAAGAACGAACUGCUUUGUCUAAUGUUGUUUUACUUUUGUGGGCUAAUAAUGUCCUAAUAAUGUCCACAUUGUUCUUUUAGAGAUGCAUUCUUCCCCCAGGCAGUUGAGUUGGAACUGGAGUAAUGUCUAUAACCGUAUAGCAUCCAGCCUUAUUUGUAAUAUUUUACUCAUACCUGUGCACACAUUCCUCAGCUACUAGCAUACAAAAGAAAAUAUGUCAAAUCUCUUUGAUCUCAGCUGUAUGCCAUUACAAAUAGAAGCAUUCAGUCAUUAAGCUCUACAUCCCCCACACUGAGAAGAGUAUUAGAACUGACCCAGGCAAGUAGAAAGCUCACAUUAUUUUAUGGAAAAAGUGCACUAGUUAGGCUGUUAGUGAACUACAAUAAAACUUAACAAUAAGGAAAUAAAAAUCA